AGUGAACGCUGGCGGUAGGCCUAACACAUGCAAGUCGAACGGCAGCACAGUAAGAGCUUGCUCUUACGGGUGGCGAGUGGCGGACGGGUGAGGAAUACAUCGGAAUCUACUUUUUCGUGGGGGAUAACGUAGGGAAACUUACGCUAAUACCGCAUACGACCUACGGGUGAAAGCAGGGGAUCUUCGGACCUUGCGCGAUUGAAUGAGCCGAUGUCGGAUUAGCUAGUUGGCGGGGUAAAGGCCCACCAAGGCGACGAUCCGUAGCUGGUCUGAGAGGAUGAACAGACACAUGGAAACGGAGGCACGGUCCAGACCCCGACGGGGGGAAGCAGGGGGGAAUAUUGAAAAAGGGGCGCAGGCCUGACCCACCAAUCCCGGGGGGGGAAAGAGGCCCUGGGGUUUGAAAGCCCUUUUUGUGGGAAAAAAAAAACAGAGGUUAAUUCCCCCCGUGUCCGGACGGACCCAAAAAAAAAGACCCCGACAACCUUCGUC
This 492-nucleotide ribosomal RNA is filed under the name uncultured bacterium. RNAcentral describes it as "partial 16S ribosomal RNA". It matches the Rfam family "Bacterial small subunit ribosomal RNA", at positions 29 to 507 of the family's 1533-position model. The record is from RNAcentral.